UUAACUGGGAAUACAAUACUAAGAUAAUAAACACUGACCAGAAAUAUAAAACAAAACCAGAACAGAAUACAAGCAGGGCAAUCUUUCAAAGGGAGGCAGAUUAGAAAAACACAUGGGAUAGAAACCCAUUAAUUACAAAUAAACACCCAUGAAUAAGAGAGUUGUAUUUUUUGCCGCAUACUCAGCCCAAUGAGCUUUGCGGCAGUCCAGGGAGUAGGGGAAACACACAAGGUUUGAAGGACCGAGAGGAGGAAACAAAUGUCUGCUAGCCAAAUGGGGAAAGGUCACAAAGGGAGGGGUCAGAGACCAUCGACCCUGACAGGUAUUAUGUCUGUAGGCAUAUUGGUCUUUGGCCAGAGCAUUUGGAAUUGUAGCUUUGAUGUGUGAGAAUACCAGCCUCUCCAAGCAUUUGGUAGUAAUAGCGCUUACAGGAUGAGGCAGCAGACAGGACUGGAGCACUGCAACCUGUCAUGUCAACUUCUACAGUAUGUUACUCUGAGCUCUGGGUUUCUAUGGACGCACUUGACUUUCAAAAUGCAUUUCAGGGUGACCGUGAGGCUAAGAAGAACAGGCAAGACAGAGACCCCCGGGGACGGGAUGCCAGUCCUUUACAGGACACACACAAUGAAGAGAAAAUUACAAAAUGAUAGGCAUGUGUUUCUGGAGUAUGGGGGGGAAGCAGGUGUACUGGGAGGAAACUCAUACACAAACACUGGCAGAAUAUGCAAAUUAUUCCCAUCAAGGUAGGAUUCAAACCCCCCACGGAGAGGGAUCUAAGGAUUUUCUCACCAAGCUACCACGCCACCCUCAGUAUAAACCGUUCAUCUGUAAUCGCACUGCAAUAUUGUAAUGUGAGCAGUGUCACAUGUGAUGGAGUGACACGGGAUCUCGUCUGAUUUGUGAGACCAUCAUGGAUAAGUGGGUUAGCCGUGUUUCAAGUGCAGGAGGAUGGAGAGAUGAUGAAGGACACCACUCAGC
Long non-coding RNA from Paramormyrops kingsleyae, 978 nucleotides. RefSeq lists it as uncharacterized. The record is from RefSeq and is a predicted model, not a curated record. NCBI's taxonomy places the organism in Eukaryota, Metazoa, Chordata, Actinopteri, Osteoglossiformes, Mormyridae.